AGGCAUUUGGAAUUUGUGCAUCAAAGUUUGUCAGACGUAACCGUUUCUGGGAUUUAACACAUUCUUUUACUUAUUUGUUUCAAAAAAGUCUUGCUGAACUCUACUGCUUGCCAGACACGUGUUCCAGGCACUGGAGAUAGAGCAGUAAACCCUCCUGGUGCUUCCCUUCUACGGGAGGGGACAGACAGCGGGCGACCACACACAGGGAGACACUGCACAAUUCCAGGCAGUGACAAGUGCAGAGAUAAACGUGCAGCAGGAGACACACUACAAAUGUGAGAAGGGGGACUUCUUCACAGGUGUCAGAAGAGGCUUCUCUCAGGAGUGGAUCUUUAAAAGGAAGCAGCACGGGGGCCAGCGGUAGAAGAGACCAGGUGUGGAGACAGGCGAGCUCACGGCCAGGUGUGGGGGAAACCCUUCAUGCAAGGGACUCGUCGGAGGGCCCAAAGGACAGGAAGCUGGAGUUCCCUGAACUUGCACAGAGCAGCCACAUGACUCCCCUGGGCCUGCUCACUGACGAAGACCAUUUCAGAAGUCAGCCUGCAACCUUCCACCCAGUGGAAAGGAUGGGAUGGGGAGGACCCACCUACCUCUGAUCACCAGAGGCUGCCUUUGUCAACUAAAAACACCAGCAACAAUAAAAACACACUCCAACCUUGUGAGCUGCCAAACUGGUUGAGCCAGUUCUCAAGAACUUAGCCCAGUGCCUGGCCUCCAGGAGGCACUGCAUUCAAUAACAGCGGGUGUUUUUAUUUUGCAGAUGAGGAAAUCUGAGGCUUAGAGAGGUAAAUAAACUUGCCAAACUUACCCGUCAGUGAGUGGCAGAACUGGGAAAAACUGGAUUGAUCCAGAAUGUUCAGACUUAUUUUACCCACUACACGGCCUGAGUGGAGACAUGGGCUGCUUUGUGGAGGCCCUGGAGUACCAGGCAAACCCACGAAGUUACUCUUAUACUGCAGAUAAUCUGGAGCCAUUGAUAGUUGGCUGAGAAGUAACAGGAGAUGUGAUAACUUAGGAAAACCCACCUGGCGGCACAGUGCAGGACACAGUUCGGUGAACAGAAGCUGGAGGCAUGGAGACCAACUAAGAUUGUAUUUAAAUAGGAAACUGGACUUGGAUAAGGGUGAUAGCAAGGGAAAAACUGAAUGACCGUGAGAGAGCUUGCACAGGAAGAAGUAGCAGAAGUUGGUAACCAGCCAUGGAAUAAGGAGACGUGCAAGAUGCUGCUGAGUUUCUCUCUGGUCACUGGAAGAUAACAGCCGCAUUGGGGAAGAGGAUGCUUGCUCCCAGGGUCUGAGAAUCAAAAGGCCAGGAGUCUACUGCUCAGCUAAGCUACUUACUACUUGGGUCACCCAAGCUUGAAGACUCCUAGGAAGGUCUUUUUCAUAAGGCUAACCCAACAAGGGAAAGAAGAGGAUGAGAUACUGGGAAGAUGAGGUGGGGGGCUGUAAGGAAAAAGGUGUGUGUGUGAGUGUGAGUGUGUGUAUGAAUAUGUGGUGGGUAUGAUGCAGGGUCGGUGAGCCGAGGAGUCGAAAGAAAGAUUUCUUAGACUCUCAAGAUCUGGCAGUAGUGCUCUUUUAUUUAGAGAAUAGUGUGGAAUAGCAUGGGGACAGGACCCAUGGGCAGUCAGAGCUUCUGCUGCCGCCGCUUCUGCUGCCCCCGCUGGCAUGGGGACAGGGCCCAUGGGCAGGCAGAACAGCUGCUGCUGCCCCCGCUGGCAUGGGGACAGGACCCAUGGGCAGGCAGAGCUGGUGCGUGGGGACAGGACCCACGGGCGGUCAGAGCUCCUGCUGCUGCCCUGAGUUGAGGGUUAGGGCUAAUUUUAUAAGGCAUGGAUACGUGACUUAUUUUUACUGGAGAAAAGAAAAGAAGAUGUAAAAAGUCAUUAAAUGAUUUCAGUGCAGAUGGGGUCUGGUUAUUGUGCGGUCAUAUAACUUUAGAUACGAAUCUGGCCAUAUAGAUCGGCAUGUAGGUGAGGAUACCCUGGGCUUCUCUCUCUGGGACGGUCCUAAUUCAUACCAUAAAAAAGUCCACUGGGUCGUAUAGUUUGGCAUGUAGGCCAGGUCACCUUGGGCUUCUGUAGCUGGGGCAGCCUUAAUCCACAUCAGGUAGAGGUAUGUGAGUGUGUGUCUGUGUGAGUGUGUGCACAUGAGUUUGUGUGUGUACGUGUGCGAGUGUGUAUGCUGGCAGGGUGUCUGAAUGGGAGACUUACUUGCACAGCAGGUGCACAGCUGCAUCCAGAGGUGAAUAUCGCGCGCCAUCCUUUCAGUUCUUUGGUAGAUGAACUUCCAAGAAAGGCAUCCUGCAGCUGGGCCCCUCCACCCCGAAAACGAGAAAAAUAAAAUCCUGGCGUCCGCCUGCUGUGGUAGGGAUUUACCUUGUAAGCAGCCACGCCCGCUGCCCCAGUCUUUAAAGGUUUGAGGCGGCCCAGGACACGGGGCUCGGCUUCGCCCCGACCCCUGGUGUCCUCUCGGGGCCAGCAGAGAGGUGGGCGGAUGUGCUCCAUUUCAGAAGACGAGAAACUGGCUGUCAAGUGGGGCACAAGAGUCCUCCAUACAGACAAGAAAAGUUUAGAUGUCAUUUUGAAAGGAUACAAACGCGAAGCACUGUGUCUCAAGAGCUUGGCUUUACGGUAGGGGAGGGUUCUUUUUUUUUUUUUUUCUAAAUACAAGGAGCUCUUUGGUUGAGAGGAGAUGGGUUACUUAGCGUUAACCCAUUGAACUGUCAUUUCCUGAAAACUCCUACGGCUUUCUGCUUUUUGGUUAGAGAGAUGCAGCUUACUGAUCUCAGGAGGAA
This is a long non-coding RNA of Equus caballus (horse), 2796 nucleotides long. NCBI's taxonomy places the organism in Eukaryota, Metazoa, Chordata, Mammalia, Perissodactyla, Equidae. The record is from Ensembl.